CUUGGCGGCUAUAGCGCUUUGGAACCACCUCUUCCCAUUCCGAACAGAACCGUGAAACGAAGUUGCGCCGAUGAUAGUGUGUUUUCGCAUGUGAAAGUAGGUCACCGCCAAGC
This 113-nucleotide ribosomal RNA is filed under the name Nitrosomonas communis. RNAcentral also lists the same sequence under 2 other names. Lineage: Bacteria; Pseudomonadati; Pseudomonadota; Betaproteobacteria; Nitrosomonadales; Nitrosomonadaceae. The record is from RNAcentral.